Molecule: unclassified non-coding RNA, 321 nt
Filed under: Hevea brasiliensis (rubber tree)
Lineage: Eukaryota; Viridiplantae; Streptophyta; Magnoliopsida; Malpighiales; Euphorbiaceae
Source: RNAcentral
GACAAAAGAAAAAAAAAGGUAUUGGUAAUGGCCAUUAUGUAAUGGUAGAGGCCGUUAAGUAGUGGACGAUGACCAUUACUCACAUGGGCACAGAGUCCUUUUUAUUUUGGAGCGGAGAGGUAAAGAGCUUAUUUUCUUUCUAGUUUCUGCACUUCCACUUCUGUUGCUCUCAAAUUUGUCAUCUUUUACAAAUCUUCAUUUUUCGAACCAAGAUCAUCAAUUAGUGAAGGUUCAUUUGACGUGAAGGAGAGAAAUUAAUCUCACUUUUACAUUUGUAUUUUGUAAAGUAUGAGUUAUUUUGUCUUUGUUGUUGGUGUUUUU